Molecule: long non-coding RNA, 843 nt
Organism: Cornus florida
Lineage: Eukaryota; Viridiplantae; Streptophyta; Magnoliopsida; Cornales; Cornaceae
Exons: 3
Source: RefSeq, a predicted model, not a curated record
UCCUCUUCUUCCCCAAAAAAAUAUCUUAGAAACGUAGAGUGGCUGAACACCCUUUCGGCGGCAUCCUCCUAGUCCCUUGGACACACACAUACAGUAUAUACGUAUACAUUUUAAAUUGCAGAACGAAAGUCUCUGCGGUCGGAUAGUUUCUCCGAUGGCGGCAUCAAACUAAUGGCUCUCUUAGCCCUAAUUCUCACAUCAAUUUCGGCAGUUUGAGCAACUGAAGACAACGACCUCUCCAAAUUAGAGGAUUAAGAUUCAUCUCUGAAGAUCGAACUUGACCAACUCAAUUCAAAGAUCUCCUUUCUAGAAUCCAUCAUUGAUGAGAGAACCCUUGAAUUGAAAAUCAAUGAUGAGAGGAUCAAGCAGAUGGAGAAGAUUACUGAAGAAAAAUCAGCUACCCAUUGCAUCGUUACAUAGUGAGAUACAAUCACUCCAGAUCGAAAAACGCAGACAAGAAAAAAGAUGUUUGAGAAGCCCGAGCAAAUGCAGCUAAGAAGAAAAUCCUGGAAGUGAACUCAAAAAUGAAGACCAGCAUUGGAUGUCACACUUCAAAAGGUCUUGCUUAUGUUUUGUCAUAGAACUCAUAUAUCAUCAUUUUUGUCAAUUUGGUGUAGGUAUUUGUGAACAUGCAUAUUUUGUUGUGCAGUGUAAGCUGUUGGAUUCCAAUGCUUUUGUAGCUCAGCCUUCAGCUCCAAAAGGAAAUAAAAAUGUCAUUACCAUUUUAGAAGCUAGAAACAUCAUGCAUAGAGAAAUAUGUUGCAGUGUCAUCACCCUUUGUUUGUAAAUUUGAUACUUAUUGUUGACCUGCAGUACAGAACAUACAAAUUGAAGUUUUGUACA